CUCUCUUUUCUCCCUCUUCUUCUGCAUAUUUUAUUUUGCCCAUCUCCCUCUGACCUAUGUUAUGCUAUCUUGGACGUCACCAGGAUAGACAGCGAUCAUCGACGGUUCGUUUGGUUCCUUCCUUCCUUUGUUUCUAGCUAGAUCAAUCUGGAUUCCUCUGCGACGUAGAAUAAUUUAUCAAGUGGCAUUAGUUUUUCCCUUGAAAAAUUUGUACUUCAUAUACAUGUUUCAUGUUUUGUAACAGUAUGAACAUAUGGUUUUUAGCCCGUGAUAAGUAUAUACUUAUUUCAAGUAGAAUGUACUGUAAAAAUCCUCUAAAAAUUAUGUUUGUUUCACUAGUCAAUAUAAGGGAGAGUUUGGGGUUUGUCCCAUCACCAUAUAUUUUUUUAUUUUGUUGAAUAAAUUUAUGGAUGUGUAGAAACCAGAAGUAUAAAUUAUUUUUAUUAUCUAAAAAUUUAAUGCAUAAUUAUAUCCAGGAACAAGGAAGGGAGAAUGUGUGCAUGUACGUCCUUUAUGUAAUCGAGAAAAUCGCAAGCGAAUGAAAAGCUUUUGAGAAAACUAAAGAAAAGCAGAGGAUUUCUCUAAAGUGUCUGACCGAUAUAAAGCUACCAAAGUUCACAUUUGUCAACAUUUCAGGAAUUUCAGAGAUUCCGGUCCAGAGUUUCAAACAAGAUUUCAUCCUUGGAAACUGGAAGGAGGAUUGUGAUCGAAAUUACGCUGAAAAAUGAAAGGAUAGAUGCACCAUAUGUCAAAGAAGACAGGAGCUACCGAUCAUCGGAUCAGAGUAGCUAGUAUGAUCAAAGCGAGACGCCGGAUUCAGACAAGAUAUCACAACGGCCUCUCCGGCCGCCGGCCACCAUAAUGCCAUUGACGUCGAUCCCCAUCCAAUCAUAGAACCCACCGGCGGCGGCCGGUCUUCGCCGGAGUUCGCAGUGACAACUCGGCGAGGCUAGCUUUGCUUAGAACAGAAACACACAAGGUAGGAGAAAGGCGAACUACACUGUUCGUCGACAAGCAAUGGCAAUUUGGCAUCGCAUCAGCUGGGUCGCGUGGAGGAUUCGCCUUUAAGUUUACACAUACAUUGCACCGGAUCGUUGUUUAACACUUUAACUCCGUGAAAGUUACGCUUAUCUACCGGCUAAUCCCUCGGAUUAAUCGUGACCGCCAAGUUAAGGCGCCGCAACGCGCUGCAGUAAAGCACCGAUAUGUACUCCUCUAUUUUUGGCCAAACAUUUGCCUUUUUCAUCCAUAAAGUUGGGGGAAGCUUCCUUAAUUAA
Molecule: small RNA, 1277 nt
Filed under: Oryza sativa Japonica Group (Japanese rice)
Lineage: Eukaryota; Viridiplantae; Streptophyta; Magnoliopsida; Poales; Poaceae
Description: sRNA Os06g0624850
Source: RNAcentral